UAAAAUACAAAAUAAUUAAUCAUCCACUGGGUUAUUCAUUUUUACAUGAAAAUAAAAGCGCAUGGGCAUUUUCCAAGGAGCUUCCUCGCACGAAGAAGACCCCGCGUGAUGGAUCCCUGCAUGGGCUUCUGAGGUUUCUAAUUUUCGCCGCCAAACGGGUGGUUGCGGAAGGCUCUCCCCGCCACCGUGAAGUCCUUCAGUAAAAGUGGAUCGACAUGCUUGCGGAAGCUAAUUUGGGCAGGGAGCUUAAAGAUAUAUAUUUUUUUGCCAUAUUCCAGUGGAGAGGAC
This 288-nucleotide long non-coding RNA is filed under the name Spirodela polyrhiza (greater duckweed). RNAcentral's name for it is "long non-coding RNA (SPOL_LNC001851)". The record is from RNAcentral. Lineage: Eukaryota; Viridiplantae; Streptophyta; Magnoliopsida; Alismatales; Araceae.